CUCUGAUCCAUUCUUCCUGCUUGAGAAAGGACGAGGCGCCACAGAAGUAUCCGUUCUACUGUAUAAGGAAUAUUUGCUCUUUUCUAAAGCACUUCAGCAGUGAGUAAGAAGAAGCCAAGAGCAAUAAACACAAUCCUGUGAGGUCCUCCAUUCUCACACAGCUGGAGACCUUGAAUCCUUGGAAAACUGAACAAAAAGGAAGAAACUUGGCAAGCAAUUUUCCUUUGCUAUAAGGAGAAGCAAGAAAACAAAUCUCUAGAACAGAAAGGAACAAUUCAAAUAGCCCUGAAAUCUGUUUCAGUUGG
This is a non-coding RNA of Notechis scutatus (mainland tiger snake), 305 nucleotides long. Lineage: Eukaryota; Metazoa; Chordata; Lepidosauria; Squamata; Elapidae. The record is from RefSeq and is a predicted model, not a curated record.